RNAcentral lists this long non-coding RNA (387 nucleotides) under Musa acuminata (dwarf banana). RNAcentral's name for it is "long non-coding RNA (MACU_LNC000642)". Lineage: Eukaryota; Viridiplantae; Streptophyta; Magnoliopsida; Zingiberales; Musaceae. The record is from RNAcentral.
GCAGCCAACAUAAUUGGUAUGGAUGUGGAUGAGGGAUGGUGUCCAACUUUAGCUUCUGCACCAUCUCCAAAGAUACCACAUUCUCAAAGCUACCGUUGUCGAUGAUCACUAAGCAUACUUUGCCAAGAGAAGUGCAUUUAGUGUGAAACACAUUUUUUCUCACCCAACUUUCAUCGUCGGCCACAUAGGACACUUGUAAACUACGUUGCAAUACAAUAGACAAACCAUGAUCAGCAUAAGUAAUCUCUUCCUCAUCAUCAUCGUAUUUUGGUUUGUCCUUAGCUUCAUCCUCUCCUCCAUCACUAUGAUCUUCAACCAAAGUUACAAUCCUCCUAUUUGGACAAUCUGAAGCAAUAUGCCCAAAACCAUAACAUUUGAAGCAUUUUC